Sus scrofa (pig) is the source of this 865-nucleotide non-coding RNA. Lineage: Eukaryota; Metazoa; Chordata; Mammalia; Artiodactyla; Suidae. The record is from RefSeq and is a predicted model, not a curated record.
ACCACUGAAGGCUUUUUGUUAGUCACAGUUGCAAGUCCUUCUCGUAUUUCUUAAACGUAGGAAGCAUACUUGUAGGUUUCUUAGUAUUUGAAGUUUAUAGGUUUAUGUCGUCUGCUGUUCCUGUUGGCUCUCAGUCACGGUUUCUGGAACUUCUUUGAGUCAGUCACUCAGUCUGGCGGUACCCAACUCAUCAAAACACUACCCAAGGUAAAAUCCGACUCCAGCUGAAUUGAGGUCAUAGCCCUACUAUAGAACGUCGGAGCUGUUGGAGAGUUUCCAUUUAUCUGCUGGAAGUGCUUCCUCCUGGUUUAUCCUUGAAGUCAUUGGACUGCUGACAAAAGAAGUUCCUGGACUUUUGUUUGGCAGAUGACCAUUAAUUUGACAGAGUAUGUGGAUGCUACAUAUAGACUAAGGGUCUGUCACUACAUAGAUCACAUUUCUUGGAAAAGAUGGCAUUCAGUAAAGUCCUGAGGUCCUUGGAGAAAUACUUAUUUUUAGCAAGUAGCAGGCAAGCAGAAUGGACUGAUGGCUUCUCUACUCCCUGUUCACCUUCCCACAAAAGUCCUGACCUGCAGCACAAUGGCCAAGAGCCCCAAAGGAGGAAUCAUAAAGAGAAGACGAAAUUCUGGUUAAUUCAGAAAUUGCCCAGUCAGCUACUGGAAUAAUUGAAAGUGAGCUAUAACAAAUCUGGUUUCCAUCUCAGGCACGAAUAAUGCUGGGCAUCAACUUUCUCUUUUUUUUUUUUUUUUCUGUCUCAAAACCAUUCCCAACUGUAAGAUUUCUAUUACUUUAAAAAUAAUCCAAUAAAGAAUAAAUGUGUAUCAUUUUUUGGUCCCCAAUACCUGGUGUGUCAUCUAGAAAAAUA